This is a non-coding RNA of Phasianus colchicus (ring-necked pheasant), 240 nucleotides long. The record is from RefSeq and is a predicted model, not a curated record. NCBI's taxonomy places the organism in Eukaryota, Metazoa, Chordata, Aves, Galliformes, Phasianidae.
CCCCAUAGGGUCCUCGGGGUCAGCGCGGUCCGCGCGGCGCCACCGGCAAAUCAGGAGCCAAGGGGACGUCGGGCAGCGAUGGACCGCAUGGACCCCCGGGAGAGAGGGGCGUACCUGGAGCUGCCGGCCCCAAUGGAUUCCCCGGCCCCAAAGGACCCCCGGGUCCCCCCGGCAAGGACGGAGUGCCGGGACACCCCGGGCAGCGCGGCGACGGCGUGAGUCGGUGCCCCAUAGCCGCCC